This 1494-nucleotide long non-coding RNA is filed under the name Sarcophilus harrisii (Tasmanian devil). RNAcentral's name for it is "lncRNA (ENSSHAG00000029000.1)". The record is from RNAcentral. Lineage: Eukaryota; Metazoa; Chordata; Mammalia; Dasyuromorphia; Dasyuridae.
AGACUGGUUUCCUUGGAAACUGUCUGGAGAGGAGGAAACUGUGUGAGAUGAAACUGAAGGAUGGGGUGGUGCCAGAUGAUAGAGGGAAUUUAAUGACCGGCAAAGGAAUAUGAAUUUUAUCCAAAAGGCAAUUAAGGAGCCACUGAAAAUGUUUCAAGUAGAGGAGUGACAUGUAGAAGAAAAGAUUAUUAUGGAAGCAAUCUGAUGGAUGGGUUGUAGGGGUAGAAGAAUGUUUUGGUAGAAUAAAGAAUUUUGACAAUUAAUUCUUCUGCUCUGUUAAAAUAAUCCAUAUACAUAAUAAUUAGCAUUUCUAUUGAGGCAGUGGAAAUCGAGCAAGAGAGGAGGGGUCAGAAGUGACACAUGAUGUGGAGGUGGAAUUGACAGGACUUGAUAACUAAUCAGGGAUGACAGAGCAGGGAGAUGCAAGAGUCAACAAUGAGCCCACGAUUGAGAACAUAAGACAAUGACUGAGAGAAUGUCUCCAAAGGAUGCUUCUUGGAUGGAUUAGAAGGUUUCCUAGAGGAGUCGGCAAUCCUCUUCUCUUGGAGGAAACAAACGCAGUAACAUUGAUGACGACAGCUCCCAUCCCAGAAGUGGGUGAUGGUGACUGCCUUUGAAGACUCAUGAGAAAACUGAGAUCUCUAAAAGGUUGAUAAAACACAGCUCCUGCACUCUGAGCCAAGGUGGAAGGGAUAGUGUACAUGUGAGAAUGGGCUCAGAUUGGAACCUGGUCUUUUGUUUUGUUCAUCAGCACGGGCCAGCAGCUAUUGACUACAAAAGGUAUGGGGAAAGGAGGAGGAAGAAAUCUAUGAUGUUAGAGGUCUACAAUUUGCAAGAUUACAAUGGAGUAUUCCAGCUGUUCACCUGUCAUCUCUCAUUCUUGCCAUUAAAUAAGCCUUUAUUCUAUCAUAGAAUUUUUUUCAUGACUUCUUUUACUGCUGCUUAUCUUUGUAGUCACUGAUGAGUUAAAUGGUUCAAUCUUCUCAGAUCCUCCCAGUGCCUUUCCAUUUCAUUCAAUGUAAUACUCAUUUAAAAAUUUCUGAGGUUGACCAUUUGAAUGUUAAGUGAUGAAAAGAUGGGCCCUGAGAGAGUAAAGGAGCUUUGCCAUUUCUCAAAUUCAAUCCAACCCAAUUCUUAUCAUCUUGUUAUUUAUUUGUGUUAUCUAUCAUGAUUCUGUAGGGUGUCCACUUAAAUGUGUAUUGCUAUCUAGGUAGUUCUUCACCUGCUUGGUCUUUCCUUUGCAAAUGGAUAAGAUCACUUAGAAUAAUCACAGAUUUCUUCCAGGAGGCUCUAUGAUAUUCUGGGACUUGUUCCCAAAACAGGAACAUCUGGAAGAUGGGAUCAAAUGAUCCAUGUGAAAAACUCUAUAUUCAAUCUCUUCUAUCACAGUCAUGAAGACAUAUAUCUGUAUGUAGGAAUUAUAUAUACAUAUAAAGCAUACACCUAUGUUUUAUAUCUUAAUGUUUAUUAUCAGGAGGCCAAUGAAAAUAGAUU